This 2453-nucleotide long non-coding RNA is filed under the name Zea mays. RNAcentral's name for it is "long non-coding RNA (ZMAY_LNC000485)". Lineage: Eukaryota; Viridiplantae; Streptophyta; Magnoliopsida; Poales; Poaceae. The record is from RNAcentral.
CCAACGUCAUUCUUGGUCUCGGUUGGUGUAGGAUCUUCCACGGAGGGUUUGGGGGCUCCGCUGUGCUUCCUGGUGGACGCCUGUGGCCGAAGAAGGAGAGGUCGACCACUGGAUGGCCGGAAUUUCAUCACUGCACCGUUGAAUUCGCCGCGGCGAGCGGGCAGACCGAGGUGCUUCCAGGUUCGUGGUAGCCUCUUUUCCCUUUCAUCGUGCGGCUGUUCACUACGUAUUAUCGCAUCCUGUUCGAAGUUCGAGUGUCUGUGGCGAAUUUUGGCCAAUGUCGGCCAUGGCGUCGCCGCAGGCACUCGGGCACUGCCGUGCGCUUGACAUUAGGGGGUGGCGCGUGCGCCAGAGCGCUGUGGCCCGUUGAUCUUCUGCGCAACGACCAAGAUUAGACAAUCGGGUACCUGUUCGCACGAUUGAAUCAUGAGCGUAGAUCUAGGAUCCCUCGGUUCGGAUUAGAUUUGGCUGCAUAAGAUCGUGACCGUAGAUCUCCCACCGAACGGUCCCGAUUAGAUCGUGAUGCUGGUUCGGGGAGAUAGAUCUGGGUCGUUGAUCUAAUCUCGGACGGGUGAGGAUUUGUUGAGGGAUUUUAAAUCCCGGUCGUCGAUUCUCAAUCGGACGGUUAUCUGCGGCGCUCUGAGUUUUAUCUGCGCCGAUCUAAUCUGGGCGCUCGAUCAUGGAUCCAGCGGCCAGUAAACCCUGAUACCCUUUCGCUGAUCAUAUGUUGCAGAAAGGCCCUUAUGCUUUUAGAAAAAUGGAACCCGCCGUCCAGUAGGGAGGCAGUCUGUGCCUUAGGAAAGUUACACCGAGAGCCCUUCUGUUUUCUGUACUUGGCGCCCAGUCCAUAGCUUUGAGAAUUCAGUUAUUUAAUUCUAGAAAUUGAUUUUUAAUACAAAAAUAAACCCUAGAACUUGUAUAAAUCAUAGAAAAUUCAUAUGAACUCCAAAUUAACUCAUUCCUGUUUCUAAAAUUUUGUAAUAUUAUUGUUUAUCACUUAGAGUAUCUGUUUUGACAUGAAAACAGUAAAAAAAUUAAUUACUCACUUAAUCAUAUAUUAAGCACAUAAAACCUUCAGAAAUUCAUAUCUUAAAAUCUAUAACUCCAAAAUUAAUGAUUCAUGUUCGUAGGUUCUUAUUUUAAUGUGUAGAUUAUUAUUAUGUAUUUUGUUUACAUGUUUGGUGUGAUGUUAAUUUCUCUUUAUAUUGUGCUUGUCUGUAUUGUGGCGAGUAGAAGAGCAUGUGACUAAGGAUCGUAGUGCCCAGCAGAUAGAAGUUGCUGAGCAGGAGCUCAUUGAAGGCAAGUUGUGCCCUUGAUCACUUAUUUUUUCCCAGCCAUGUUCUUAUUAAUCAUAAUGAUCUGCAUAGGUUAAUUUUGAUGGGAUCGUUUAGGUUACCCUAGUUUUGGUUAUCUUUAUACCUUGUUUACCACUCAAUAUUUUUGGGUAGUACUUGCUAUUGCUUUAUGUGGUUUUGGGUAUGGAGAUACAUUAUUCAUGAACACUUUUAUUAUCUGUUUAUUAUUACUGUUCAUGUUAAGAUCAUUAUGUUAAUGGGAACAUGGAGCGACCACCCGGGAAAACAGUGCUACCACAAGGGUAGUAUGGGAUGCCCUUGGCUGAUUAACUAGGAAAGCUAGCGGAUGACUACCUUACCCGAUAGGGGCAAGGGCAUUAGGGGAGUGGUCAGUGUAGGGAGGUCCUUGGGUUGAUUUUGCUCCGAUGGCGGUCAGGCGCCUGGAGCUUCCUAUAAACUGUAGCGGGUUUUCUGAAGCUAGUGGAACUUUGUAAAGGCCUAGUAGUGUUACCCUGCCUCGCCUCCUCGGUAGAGGUGUAUGGGAUUGACCGUCUCUUGGCAGAUGGGUAACAUGACUUGUGGGUUAAGAUGUGCAACCUCUUCAGAGUGUAAAACUGGUAUACUAGCCGUGCUCACGGUUAUGAGCAGCUCGGACCCUCACAUGAUUAAUCUAUGGAAUUAAAACUCAAUUUGUCAUUUGCAUCGCAUUGGGAUUAUUUUAUUAUUACUUUUACUUAUUAAUACUAAGGUUUGGUAUUUACUUAUACUUAGUAAUUGCUAAUAAAAUUUUGACCAACUUAUAAAAGCAAUGCUCAGCUUCAACCUUUAUUUUGUUGAUCAGCCUUACACUUCACAUGAACUCCCACCUUUGGAGAGUUCAUGCACAUUAUUCACCACAACUUGUUGAGCUAUGAACGUAUGUGAGCUCACUCUUGCUGUCUCACACCCCCCCCCACAGGAGAAGAAUAGGUGGUCGAAGAGGAGUCGCCUAACACUAAGGCUUUCGACUUGAUCUAGGUGGUGUCUCCUAGUCAGCUUUGUGGCGCCAGGGAAUAAUAUUUAGUUCGCUUUAUUUUAUCAUUUAUUUUUGUAAGACUUCCGCUAUGUAAUAAUUACAUUGAUAAUAUUUAUGACAUUUAUCUCUAUGCACUCUGUUAU